UGCCGACAGUAGAACUCCAACAAUUUUUUAAAUUUUAGUCCCGAAACUACGCCACCUAGUGGACACAUCUGAAAAUGAAUCGGAGUGACGUGGAAUCGCCAUUUUAUUCCAAGACGUUGAGCCAGAAGCAGGUCGCCGUUGUAUCGGUUGUAUGCUCAAUCUUUAACAUUUUGACGGAAAUAAAUAAGCCUAUUUCCACUUGGGCAAAUCAUAUGAUCACAUGGCUAGGUUCAGCUGCUAAAAUGUCAUCCAUUGCUACGUGUAACGGCUGUAUGUUUCAUCCAAUCCUUUGCUGAAAUACUUAAAGAAGAAGUUUCACAGCCAGGUGAAGUCUGAGCUUCUGCAAUGCUGUCUUUUGUGCUCAUGGUUUUGUUGCAGCCAGCUGACGAUUGGUGUGAUGAACUACUGCAUGCAGUCCAUUGUGCUGGUGUGGUGAGCUGCUUCUAUCCAGUCUGUGGUGCUGGCGUUAUCCUGAAAGGUUGGCUCUAGAUUCCUGACAAUGUGGUGUUUGUGGUGGAAAUGAGGAACUGAUUUCAUCGUAUCAAAAAUUCUUAUCCAUGUAAUUGUGUUUGAUUUUACGAUGGGGUUUGCUUAGUAAGUGAAAUAAAGAAAAAUAAAUGACAUCAAUAUUAA
Molecule: long non-coding RNA, 633 nt
Organism: Daphnia pulex (common water flea)
Lineage: Eukaryota; Metazoa; Arthropoda; Branchiopoda; Diplostraca; Daphniidae
Exons: 3
Source: RefSeq, a predicted model, not a curated record